RNAcentral lists this ribosomal RNA (253 nucleotides) under uncultured bacterium. RNAcentral's name for it is "partial 16S ribosomal RNA". It matches the Rfam family "Bacterial small subunit ribosomal RNA", at positions 524 to 776 of the family's 1533-position model. The record is from RNAcentral.
UACGAAUGGGGCUAGCGUUGCUCGGAAUCACUGGGCGUAAAGGGUGCGUAGGCGGGUCUUUAAGUCAGGGGUGAAAUCCUGGAGCUCAACUCCAGAACUGCCUUUGAUACUGAAGAUCUUGAGUUCGGGAGAGGUGAGUGGAACUGCGAGUGUAGAGGUGAAAUUCGUAGAUAUUGGGAAGAACACCGAUGGCGAAGGCAGCCAUCUGGACCGACACUGACGCUGAGGCGCGAAAGCGUGGGGAGCAAACAGG